CACGUAGGGGGCGAGCGUUGUCCGGAUUUAUUGGGCGUAAAGAGCUCGUAGGCGGUUCGAUAAGUCGGGUGUGAAAACUCUGGGCUCAACUCAGAGACGCCACCCGAUACUGUUGUGACUUGAGUCCGGUAGGGGAGUAUGGAAUUCCCGGUGUAGCGGUGAAAUGCGCAGAUAUCAGGAAGAACACCCGUGGCGAAGGCGGCUCUCUGGGACGGUACUGACGCUGAGACGCGAAAGCGUGGGGAGCGAACAGG
RNAcentral lists this ribosomal RNA (254 nucleotides) under uncultured bacterium. Its description in RNAcentral is "partial 16S ribosomal RNA". It matches the Rfam family "Bacterial small subunit ribosomal RNA", at positions 524 to 776 of the family's 1533-position model. The record is from RNAcentral.